GACGAACGCUGGCUGCGUGCUUAACACAUGCAAGUCGAACGCUGAAGCCCCAGCUUGCUGGGGUGGAUGAGUGGCGAACGGGUGAGUAACACGUGAGUAACCUGCCCCUGACUUCGGGAUAAGCCCGGGAAACUGGGUCUAAUACCUGAUACGACUAUCGGACGCAUGUCUGGUGGUGGAAAGUUUUUUCGGUUGGGGAUGGGCUCGCGGCCUAUCAGUUUGUUGGUGAGGUAAUGGCUCACCAAGACGACGACGGGUAGCCGGCCUGAGAGGGCGAACGGCCACACUGGAACUGAGAGACGGCCCAGACUCCUACGGGGGGCAGCAGUGGGGAAUAUUGCACAAUGGGGGAAACCCUGAGGCAGCGACGCAGCGUGCGGGAUGACGGCCUUCGGGUUGUAAACAGCUUUCAGCAGGGAAGAAGCCUUGGGGUGACGGUACCUGCAGAAGAAGUACCGGCUAACUACGUG
RNAcentral lists this ribosomal RNA (470 nucleotides) under uncultured bacterium. Its description in RNAcentral is "partial 16S ribosomal RNA". It matches the Rfam family "Bacterial small subunit ribosomal RNA", at positions 28 to 507 of the family's 1533-position model. The record is from RNAcentral.